GGUGUUGUGGUUCAGUGGUAAAGCACUUGCCUAGCAUGUGUGAGGCCCUGAGUUCAAUUCUCAGCACCACAU
Molecule: transfer RNA, 72 nt
Filed under: Ictidomys tridecemlineatus (thirteen-lined ground squirrel)
Lineage: Eukaryota; Metazoa; Chordata; Mammalia; Rodentia; Sciuridae
Description: Spermophilus tridecemlineatus (thirteen-lined ground squirrel) tRNA
Rfam family: tRNA
About the family: Transfer RNA (tRNA) molecules are approximately 80 nucleotides in length. Their secondary structure includes four short double-helical elements and three loops (D, anti-codon, and T loops). Further hydrogen bonds mediate the characteristic L-shaped molecular structure. tRNAs have two regions of fundamental functional importance: the anti-codon, which is responsible for specific mRNA codon recognition, and the 3' end, to which the tRNAs corresponding amino acid is attached (by aminoacyl-tRNA synthetases). tRNAs cope with the degeneracy of the genetic code in two manners: having more than one tRNA (with a specific anti-codon) for a particular amino acid; and 'wobble' base-pairing, i.e. permitting non-standard base-pairing at the 3rd anti-codon position.
Source: Rfam by way of RNAcentral